Molecule: long non-coding RNA, 381 nt
Organism: Oppia nitens
Lineage: Eukaryota; Metazoa; Arthropoda; Arachnida; Sarcoptiformes; Oppiidae
Exons: 3
Source: RefSeq, a predicted model, not a curated record
ACCGAAAAAAUGAUAUUCAAAAUUGUCUUAAAUUUGCAAAACAAAUAAACACUAAAAAUUUGAUUCAACAAUGAAAGUCUUGGCCGUAGUGUUGUUGUUGGCAUUGGUGGCUAUGGCCAGCGCUCAGUUUUACUAUAGUUCACCUUAUGUGGCAAAUUAUGGACAGCCAUACGCCUAUUCAUCCCCUUAUGCCUCUGUGCCAGCAUAUAGUAGCUAUUAUGGAUCAGGCUAUGCUUAUCCUGCUUACACCGGAUACUCAACUUAUCUCAAGAAAUAGACUGUCGAUUCCGGAUCAAUGAAAAAGUGCCUCAUUUUUAUAAAAUUUUAUUUUCAAUUAAUUUUUUAAUGUAUAUUUUCAAAACAAAUAACAAUUUUUGUACG